Molecule: ribosomal RNA, 440 nt
Filed under: Mogibacterium timidum
Lineage: Bacteria; Bacillati; Bacillota; Clostridia; Peptostreptococcales; Anaerovoracaceae
Description: bacterial SSU rRNA
Rfam family: Bacterial small subunit ribosomal RNA
Source: RNAcentral
GAUGAACGCUGGCGGCGUGCCUAAUACAUGCAAGUCGAGCGAGAAGCUUGGAAAUGACGCUUCGGUUGAUUUUCCAAGCGGACAGCGGCGGACGGGUGAGUAACGCGUAGGCAACCUGCCCCUGACAGAGGGAUAGCCAUUGGAAACGAUGAUUAAAACCUCAUGACACCGUAGUAGCACAUGCUACAUCGGUCAAAGAUUUAUCGGUCAGGGAUGGGCCUGCGUCUGAUUAACUGGUUGGUGAGGUAACGGCUCACCAAGGUGACGAUCAGUAGCCGACCUGAGAGGGUGAUCGGCCACAUUGGAACUGAGACACGGUCCAAACUUCUACGGAAGGCAGCAGUAGGGAAUCUUGCACAAUGGGCGAAAGCCUGAUGCAGCAACGCCGCGUGAAGGAUGAAGGGCCUUUCGGGUUGUAAAACUUUCUGUUCUAAAGGGAA